UACGUAGGGUCCGAGCGUUGUCCGGAAUUAUUGGGCGUAAAGAGCUCGUAGGUGGUUUGUCGCGUCGUCUGUGAAAUUCCGGGGCUUAACUUCGGGCGUGCAGGCGAUACGGGCAAUACUUGAGUGCUGUAGGGGAGACUGGAAUUCCUGGUGUAGCGGUGGAAUGCGCAGAUAUCAGGAGGAACACCGAUGGCGAAGGCAGGUCUCUGGGCAGUAACUGACGCUGAGGAGCGAAAGCAUGGGUAGCGAACAGGAUUAGAUACCCCGGUA
Molecule: ribosomal RNA, 270 nt
Filed under: uncultured prokaryote
Description: partial 16S ribosomal RNA
Rfam family: Bacterial small subunit ribosomal RNA
Source: RNAcentral